AACAUAAAUCACCUGAUAAUGGUAUUUCUGGAUAAGGAAAAAAGAUAAUUAAAAGUAAAAGAGGAAAAGGAGAAAAAUAACAAAAACAAACACUGUAGUGAUUCGGCAGAUGCAACCGCCGCGCGGCAGCGGAAGCGCCGAGCCGACUAGGGGCGACGGCGGCGGGCUCGCUAGAUACCGGUCAGCUCCGGCGACUUGGUUGGAAGCGUUGCUCGAGUCGGACGAGGAGCAGGUCUUGCCUGACGUCGUAUUGGAUAUACCUAAACCGCCUCCGCCCCCCAAUGCCUCCUCCACCGCUGAAGUCGAUCUCCAGCUGCUGGAGUCCGCCGGAGGCGGCAGCUUUAGCAAUUUCCUGAGGAUGAACAGCUCGCCGGCGGAGUUUUUGUCUCUGCUUAAUAGCUCGGAAGGGCUGUUUUCGAAUUUAGGGAUUCCGGCGGAUUACGAGCUCUUGCCGGCGAAUCAAGGUAAGCGCGCACGCGAGGCGGAGGAUUUGGAUGGGAUUUCGCCGAAAAAGUCGCCGUCUUCGUCUUCUUCUACUCAAGUGAAACGAGAGAAGCGUGGGCAACUGCAAGGCUCGGGAGGGUCAUUUGAUCUUGAUAUGGAGAAUAUUUUGGAGGACUCAGUAAUGUGUAGGGUACGAGCAAAACGUGGCUGUGCUACUCAUCCUCGCAGCAUUGCUGAAAGGGAGAGAAGAACGCGGAUCAGUGACAGGAUAAGGAAGCUGCAAGAACUUGUCCCUAAUAUGGAUAAGCAAACAAACACCGCAGACAUGUUAGAAGAAGCUGUAGCUUAUGUCAAGCAUCUGCAGAAAGAAAUCCAGGUUGUUUAUUUUCCCAUUAUACAGUUUAGGGUUGAUGAACUAUAUUGCCAACAAUUCAGGAUUUGUCUUCAUUCCUACUUGAUUUAGUUGUUUUAUAUCAAUGUGUGCCACUACCUUGGAUUGUGUCCUAUUCCCUUGAGAUAACGAAUUAUGAGAAAUUGCUCCAUUCGUUCAUGAUGAGUGUGGUACCGAGGGGAGAGCAUGGAUUUUAAGAAAAAUAUUAGAUGUGUUUUGAGCAGAGAUGGGUCCACAAGGGGGGGUAUUGGGUGUUGGAUUAAAAUUGGUUUAAAGGUUUAUGGGCCCACUUAAAAGUAAAACCUGCUUCCUCUGUUGCAUGGUUUUAGUCGAAUCAGUUGCAUGGUUGUUUUACUUGAAUCUCAUUUGUGAGGUGAGUGCUAAGUGCAAGCAAUUUUAGCUCGUUAAUGUUUCACCUAUGCUGGAGUAUCUGUACUUCCGUCUUCUCUUGGGUGCUGCAAUGCUUCAGGCUGUGGACUGGCCAGUACUUUUUAAGCAUCACUUCAACUAAUAAAACUCUACUCUGCUCAACAAUUAUUGUAAGCACCUGCUGGGCAUGCUUGCUGUUUAGAAGUUGAUUCCUUCGUCAGUUAUCUUGCGUCGUGUUCCUUGGUUUUAGUUCAUCCAUUUCAGAAAACAACUCCGUCUUUUGCAGGAUCUAACGGAGCAUCAAAAGAAAUGCACAUGCUCAACAAACGAUUGAACAAUUGGAUUGGAUAUUGUAGAGUAAAGAUACAAUGUUAUGAUUUUUGCUCGUUGCUCGAUGACAGUUUCCACCUCCCACUAUGUUUGUUGAGCUGUAAGAUAUUGUAAAAAAGGUAGUAGAAGUCUGUUGUGCAAAACCAGUAGCCGGCAUCUCUCGUGAAUAAUCACUACUGCCGUAGUUAGGGAAUCUGUACAUGACAAGGCCAUAUCUAAGCUAGUCUAUUAUUUGUAUUUGUAAUACUUCCUGCUUUGUAUGUAAACAUAUGUCAUCUAGAUGGUAUGCAGAUGGCUUAAGGUCAGCAGAAGAGCCGGUUUAAGGCUCUUUGUUGCCACCGGGGAGAGUAACACCUCUCCCCGACUCCCCGUACCUCCUUAAUAAGUGGAGGCGAGUUGCAUCGUUUUCCGCUGUGUCAGUAGAAAUUUCAUCUUCAUUAUCGUCACAUUUUCUCAUUCA
This is an RNA transcript of Salvia splendens (bonfire salvia), 1994 nucleotides long. It is a transcript of the gene named transcription factor bHLH80, with no coding region annotated. Lineage: Eukaryota; Viridiplantae; Streptophyta; Magnoliopsida; Lamiales; Lamiaceae. The record is from RefSeq and is a predicted model, not a curated record. The transcript has 5 exons.